UCCAGUAGUUCAGUCAACGGCGGACUGUUAAUCCGUAUGUCACUGGUUCGAGUCCAGUCAGAGGAGCCA
This 69-nucleotide transfer RNA is filed under the name Salmonella enterica subsp. enterica. RNAcentral's name for it is "tRNA-Asn". The stretch from base 5 to 59 matches the Rfam family "tRNA", at positions 7 to 64 of the family's 71-position model. From Rfam's summary of the family: Transfer RNA (tRNA) molecules are approximately 80 nucleotides in length. Their secondary structure includes four short double-helical elements and three loops (D, anti-codon, and T loops). Further hydrogen bonds mediate the characteristic L-shaped molecular structure. tRNAs have two regions of fundamental functional importance: the anti-codon, which is responsible for specific mRNA codon recognition, and the 3' end, to which the tRNAs corresponding amino acid is attached (by aminoacyl-tRNA synthetases). tRNAs cope with the degeneracy of the genetic code in two manners: having more than one tRNA (with a specific anti-codon) for a particular amino acid; and 'wobble' base-pairing, i.e. permitting non-standard base-pairing at the 3rd anti-codon position. The record is from RNAcentral. Lineage: Bacteria; Pseudomonadati; Pseudomonadota; Gammaproteobacteria; Enterobacterales; Enterobacteriaceae.